CAAUGAAGAAAGCAUGGUAAUGUGCACAGAAAUUAAAUUGGGUCUCUAGGCCUGCCCUUUCUGAUGUCAUUUGGCUUUGAUUUGGGGGCAUGGUUUCCCAGCAAAAUA
Small nucleolar RNA from Rhododendron vialii, 108 nucleotides. RefSeq annotates it as small nucleolar RNA snoR100. The transcript has a single exon. NCBI's taxonomy places the organism in Eukaryota, Viridiplantae, Streptophyta, Magnoliopsida, Ericales, Ericaceae. The record is from RefSeq and is a predicted model, not a curated record.